Molecule: ribosomal RNA, 708 nt
Filed under: uncultured Lachnospiraceae bacterium
Lineage: Bacteria; Bacillati; Bacillota; Clostridia; Lachnospirales; Lachnospiraceae
Description: bacterial SSU rRNA
Rfam family: Bacterial small subunit ribosomal RNA
Source: RNAcentral
GAGCGAAGCACCUUGACGGAUUCUUCGGAUUGAAGCCUUGGUGACUGAGCGGCGGACGGGUGAGUAACGCGUGGGUAACCUGCCUCAUACAGGGGGAUAACAGUUGGAAACGGCUGCUAAUACCGCAUAAGCGCACAGUACCGCAUGGUACGGUGUGAAAAACUCCGGUGGUAUGAGAUGGACCCGCGUCUGAUUAGGUAGUUGGUGGGGUAACGGCCUACCAAGCCGACGAUCAGUAGCCGACCUGAGAGGGUGACCGGCCACAUUGGGACUGAGACACGGCCCAAACUCCUACGGGAGGCAGCAGUGGGGAAUAUUGCACAAUGGGGGAAACCCUGAUGCAGCGACGCCGCGUGAGCGAUGAAGUAUUUCGGUAUGUAAAGCUCUAUCAGCAGGGAAGAAAAUGACGGUACCUGACUAAGAAGCCCCGGCUAACUACGUGCCAGCAGCCGCGGUAAUACGUAGGGGGCAAGCGUUAUCCGGAUUUACUGGGUGUAAAGGGAGCGUAGACGGCAUGGCAAGCCAGAUGUGAAAGCCCGGGGCUCAACCCCGGGACUGCAUUUGGAACUGUCAGGCUAGAGUGUCGGAGAGGAAAGCGGAAUUCCUAGUGUAGCGGUGAAAUGCGUAGAUAUUAGGAGGAACACCAGUGGCGAAGGCGGCUUUCUGGACGGUGACUGACGUUGAGGCUCGAAAGCGUGGGGAGCAAAC